AACGAACGCUGGCGGCAUGCCUAACACAUGCAAGUCGAACGAUGGUCUUCGGUUCAUAGUGGCGCACGGUUGCGUAACACGUGGGAAUCUGCCAUUGGGUUCGGAAUAACAGUUGGAAACGACUACUAAUACCGGAUAAUGUCGAUAAGACCAAAGGUAUAUCGCACGAGGAUGAGCCCGCGUCGGAUUAGCUAGUUGGUGGGGUAAAGCUCUACCAGUGCGACGAUCCGUAGAUGGGCUGAGAGGAUGGUCAGCCACACUGGGACGAAGACACGGCACAGAAUCCUACGGGAUGGAGGAGUGGGGGAUAGUGGACAAUGGGCGCGGGCCUGAUCCAGCAAUGCCGGGUGAGUGAUGAAGUCCUUGGGGUUGUAAAGCUCUUGUACCCGGGAAGGUAAUGACUGUACCGGGAGAAUAAGCCCCGGCUAACUCCGUG
This 436-nucleotide ribosomal RNA is filed under the name uncultured bacterium. RNAcentral's name for it is "partial 16S ribosomal RNA". It matches the Rfam family "Bacterial small subunit ribosomal RNA", at positions 29 to 507 of the family's 1533-position model. The record is from RNAcentral.